UUAACAUUGCGGGGGGACACAAUUUGUGUUGAGAAGGUUAAAACCUGACCCUUAGAACCUGACAGUUAACACUGACGUAGGGAGCAAUGAAGGGUGUAAU
The sequence is a regulatory RNA element, 100 nucleotides long. It matches the Rfam family "TPP riboswitch aptamer (THI element)". From Rfam's summary of the family: Vitamin B(1) in its active form thiamin pyrophosphate (TPP) is an essential coenzyme that is synthesised by coupling of pyrimidine and thiazole moieties in bacteria. The previously detected thiamin-regulatory element, thi box was extended, resulting in a new, highly conserved RNA secondary structure, the THI element, which is widely distributed in eubacteria and also occurs in some archaea. The record is from Rfam.